AUUGAACGCUGGCGGUAGGCCUAACACAUGCAAGUCGAACGGCAGCACAGUAAGAGCUUGCUCUUACGGGUGGCGAGUGGCGGACGGGUGAGGAAUACAUCGGAAUCUACUUUUUCGUGGGGGAUAACGUAGGGAAACUUACGCUAAUACCGCAUACGACCUACGGGUGAAAGCAGGGGAUCUUCCGACCUUGCGCGAUUGAAUGAGCCGAUGUCGGAUUAGCUAGUUGGCGGGGUAAAGGCCCACCAAGGCGACGAUCCGUAGCUGGUCUGAGAGGAUGAUCAGCCACACUGGAACUGAGACACGGUCCAGACUCCUACGGGAGGCAGCAGUGGGGAAUAUUGGACAAUGGGCGCAAGCCUGAUCCAGCCAUACCGCGUGGGUGAAGAAGGCCUUCGGAUUGUAAAGCCCUUUUGUUGGGAAAGAAAAGCAGCAGGUUAAUACCCCGCUGUUCUGACGGUACCCAAAGAAUAAGCACCGGCUAACUUCGUG
Molecule: ribosomal RNA, 492 nt
Filed under: uncultured bacterium
Lineage: Bacteria
Description: partial 16S ribosomal RNA
Rfam family: Bacterial small subunit ribosomal RNA
Source: RNAcentral